RNAcentral lists this long non-coding RNA (300 nucleotides) under Olea europaea (common olive). RNAcentral describes it as "long non-coding RNA (OEUR_LNC008403)". Lineage: Eukaryota; Viridiplantae; Streptophyta; Magnoliopsida; Lamiales; Oleaceae. The record is from RNAcentral.
CCUUGUGUCAAACACAAAUGAUUUGGAUCGUACACAUAUAUUGUCGUGUCAGCAAAAAUGAUCUCCAGCGUAACAUAGUGCCUAUUGAUGCACGCUGAAAUGUACAUACGUGUACAACCCUUCCAUGAUUCCCCCUCGACACUCGGUGACAUUUCUAUGACCCACUCGAGCAUAUAUUCUGGCACCGUGUACUCGUUAUCCAUAAGUUGGAGCGACUAAUACUCUAUGGUAACUGCACGCAGGAACUUGGUGCUUAAUAUGACUCGACCAUGGACGUCAAAUGAUUUUGGAUGUCUUUGA